Ciborinia camelliae is the source of this 95-nucleotide non-coding RNA. The record is from the annotation of a GenBank genome assembly. NCBI's taxonomy places the organism in Eukaryota, Fungi, Ascomycota, Leotiomycetes, Helotiales, Sclerotiniaceae.
GCGGUUGUGGUUUAGUGGUAAAAUCCAUCGUUGCCAUGUGGAGACACUUCUUCAAUAACUUCGAUGGGCCCCGUGUUCAAUUCACGGCAUCCGCA